This 229-nucleotide ribosomal RNA is filed under the name uncultured bacterium. RNAcentral describes it as "partial 16S ribosomal RNA". It matches the Rfam family "Bacterial small subunit ribosomal RNA", at positions 568 to 796 of the family's 1533-position model. The record is from RNAcentral.
CGCGUAGGUGGGUUGGUAAGUGAGAGGUGAAAGCCCGGGGCUUAACUCCGGAACUGCCUUUCAUACUGCCAGCCUAGAGUUCGGGAGAGGGAGAUGGAAUUCCUGGUGUAGCGGUGGAAUGCGUAGAUAUCAGGAGGAACACCAAUUGCGAAGGCAGGUUACUAUGUCUUAACUGACGCUGAUGGACGAAAGCGUGGGGAGCGAACAGGAUUAGAUACCCUGGUAGUCC